This 482-nucleotide ribosomal RNA is filed under the name uncultured bacterium. RNAcentral's name for it is "partial 16S ribosomal RNA". It matches the Rfam family "Bacterial small subunit ribosomal RNA", at positions 30 to 507 of the family's 1533-position model. The record is from RNAcentral.
AUUGAACGCUGGCGGCAUGCUUUACACAUGCAAGUCGAACGGUAACAGGCCGCAAGGUGCUGACGAGUGGCGAACGGGUGAGUAAUGCAUCGGAACGUGCCCAGUCGUGGGGGAUAACUACUCGAAAGAGUAGCUAAUACCGCAUACGAUCUAUGGAUGAAAGCGGGGGACCGUAAGGCCUCGCGCGAUUGGAGCGGCCGAUGUCAGAUUAGGUAGUUGGUGGGGUAAAGGCUCACCAAGCCAACGAUCUGUAGCUGGUCUGAGAGGACAACCAGCCACACUGGGACUGAGACACGGCCCAGAAUCCUACGGGAGGCAGCAGUGGGGAAUUUUGGACAAUGGGCGCAAGCCUGAUCCAGCAAUGCCGCGUGCAGGAAGAAGGCCUUCGGGUUGUAAACUGCUUUUGUACGGAACGAAACGGCUCUGGUUAAUACCCGGGGCUAAUGACGGUACCGUAAGAAUAAGCACCGGCUAACUACGUG